AGAUAAAAGAAGCCCGGAACCAAUCCGCAUUGUUCCGGGCUUAGGGGAAUGGCUCAUAGGGAAUGAGCCGUGCGCUAUCGUUACAUACUGCAGGUGUCAAAAGGUAAGAUUUAGUGUAGUUAAUCGGCAGCAUUUUGCCCGAGCU
RNAcentral lists this small RNA (145 nucleotides) under Rheinheimera nanhaiensis E407-8. Lineage: Bacteria; Pseudomonadati; Pseudomonadota; Gammaproteobacteria; Chromatiales; Chromatiaceae. The record is from RNAcentral.